Molecule: transfer RNA, 75 nt
Filed under: Richardsonius balteatus (redside shiner)
Lineage: Eukaryota; Metazoa; Chordata; Actinopteri; Cypriniformes; Leuciscidae
Description: tRNA-Pro
Rfam family: tRNA
About the family: Transfer RNA (tRNA) molecules are approximately 80 nucleotides in length.
Source: RNAcentral
CUAUCAGAAGAUAGUUUAAUUUAGAAUUCUGGCUUUGGGAGCCAGGGGUGGGAGUUAAAAUCUCCUUCUUCUGGG